UACAGAGGGUGCGAGCGUUAAUCGGAAUUACUGGGCGUAAAGCGCUCGUAGGCGGCCGUGUAAGUCGGGCGUGAAAGCCCCCGGCUUAACCGGGGAAUGGCGUCCGAUACUGGAUGGCUUGAGUCCGGGAGAGGGAUGCGGAAUUCCAGGUGUAGCGGUGAAAUGCGUAGAUAUCUGGAGGAACACCGGUGGCGAAGGCGGCAUCCUGGACCGGCACUGACGCUGAGGAGCGAAAGCCAGGGGAGCAAACGGG
RNAcentral lists this ribosomal RNA (253 nucleotides) under uncultured bacterium. RNAcentral's name for it is "partial 16S ribosomal RNA". It matches the Rfam family "Bacterial small subunit ribosomal RNA", at positions 524 to 776 of the family's 1533-position model. The record is from RNAcentral.